AAAUCAUGGUUAGGGAAGUCCCUAGUGUACUCCUUGAAACAUUCCAAUGCUUCAAAGAAUGACUCUGUGGCUCCUUGCUUGAAACUUGAGAUUUUGUUCCUCAUGGAACU
Arabis alpina (gray rockcress) is the source of this 110-nucleotide non-coding RNA. Lineage: Eukaryota; Viridiplantae; Streptophyta; Magnoliopsida; Brassicales; Brassicaceae. The record is from Rfam.